This 474-nucleotide ribosomal RNA is filed under the name uncultured bacterium. RNAcentral describes it as "SSU rRNA". It matches the Rfam family "Bacterial small subunit ribosomal RNA", at positions 26 to 518 of the family's 1533-position model. The record is from RNAcentral.
AGAUUGAACGCUGGCGGCAUGCCUUACACAUGCAAGUCGAACGCGAAAGUAGGGGCAACCCUGCGAGUAGAGUGGCGAACGGGUGAGUAAUACAUCGGAACGUACCCAGGAGUGGGGGACAACCUCGAGAAAUCGAGGCUAAUACCGCAUACGUCCUGAGGGAGAAAGCGGGGGAUUCGCAAGGACCUCGCGCUCAUGGAGCGGCCGAUGUCGGAUUAGCUAGUUGGCGGGUAAAGGCCCACCAAGGCUACGAUCCGUAGCUGGUUUGAGAGAACGACCAGCCACACUGGGACUGAGACACGGCCCAGACUCCUACGGGGGCAGCAGUGAGGAAUUUUCCGCAAUGGAGGCAACUCUGACGGAGCAACGCCGCGUGCAGGAGGAAGGUUUUCGGAUCGUAAACUGCUUUUCUCGGGGACGAGCAAGGACGGUACCCGAGGAAGAAGCCCCGGCUAACUACGUGCCAGCAGCCGC